This 491-nucleotide ribosomal RNA is filed under the name uncultured bacterium. Its description in RNAcentral is "partial 16S ribosomal RNA". It matches the Rfam family "Bacterial small subunit ribosomal RNA", at positions 29 to 506 of the family's 1533-position model. The record is from RNAcentral.
AGUGAACGCUGGCGGUAGGCCUAACACAUGCAAGUCGAACGGCAGCACAGUAAGAGCUUGCUCUUACGGGUGGCGAGUGGCGGACGGGUGAGGAAUACAUCGGAAUCUACUUUUUCGUGGGGGAUAACGUAGGGAAACUUACGCUAAUACCGCAUACGACCUACGGGUGAGAGCAGGGGAUCUUCGGACCUUGCGCGAUUGAAUGAGCCGAUGUCGGAUUAGCUAGUUGGCGGGGUAAAGGCCCACCAAGGCGACGAUCCGUAGCUGGUCUGAGAGGAUGAUCAGCCACACUGGAACUGAGACACGGUCCAGACUCCUACGGGAGGCAGCAGUGGGGAAUAUGGGACAAUGGGCGCAAGCCUGAUCCAGCCAUACCGCGUGGGUGAAGAAGGCCUUCGGGUUGUAAAGCCCUUUUGUUGGGAAAGAAAAGCAGCAGGUUAAUACCCCGCUGUUCUGACGGUACCCAAAGAAUAAGCACCGGCUAACUUCGU